CCUACGGGGCGCUGCAGUGGGGAAUAUUGGACAAUGGGCGAAAGCCUGAUCCAGCCAUGCCGCGUGUGUGAAGAAGGCCUUCGGGUUGUAAAGCACUUUCAGUGGGGAAGAAAGCCUUGGGGCUAAUACCCUCGAGGAAGGACAUCACCCACAGAAGAAGCACCGGCUAACUCCGUGCCAGCAGCCGCGGUAAUACGGAGGGUGCGAGCGUUAAUCGGAAUUACUGGGCGUAAAGCGCGCGUAGGCGGUCUGAUAAGCCGGUUGUGAAAGCCCCGGGCUCAACCUGGGAACGGCAUCCGGAACUGUCAGGCUAGAGUGCAGGAGAGGAAGGUUGAAUUCCCGGUGUAGCGGUGAAAUGCGUAGAGAUCGGGAGGAAUACCAGUGGCGAAGGCGGCCUUCUGGACUGACACUGACGCUGAGGUGCGAAAGCGUGGGUAGCAAACAGGAUUAGAUACCCGAGUAGUC
RNAcentral lists this ribosomal RNA (465 nucleotides) under Vreelandella stevensii. RNAcentral's name for it is "partial 16S ribosomal RNA". It matches the Rfam family "Bacterial small subunit ribosomal RNA", at positions 338 to 795 of the family's 1533-position model. The record is from RNAcentral. Lineage: Bacteria; Pseudomonadati; Pseudomonadota; Gammaproteobacteria; Oceanospirillales; Halomonadaceae.